Molecule: small RNA, 27 nt
Filed under: Bombyx mori (domestic silkworm)
Lineage: Eukaryota; Metazoa; Arthropoda; Insecta; Lepidoptera; Bombycidae
Description: ovarian small RNA-12865
Source: RNAcentral
CAAUAUGACAACCGGUAUGAGUGCUGC